Long non-coding RNA from Rhagoletis zephyria (snowberry fruit fly), 168 nucleotides. RefSeq lists it as uncharacterized. The record is from RefSeq and is a predicted model, not a curated record. NCBI's taxonomy places the organism in Eukaryota, Metazoa, Arthropoda, Insecta, Diptera, Tephritidae.
AUAGAAAUUUUUUUGCCAACUGACCGAACCGUGGUCGCGUUGCUAUCAGUAAUCGACCCAUAGGCUUUAGUGCUCUAAGUUACCUAAAAGUGUUCUCUAACAAAAAAUAUAGGCUUGUUCGAGUUGCAAUCACAACCGCAGUGUUGCGCGAAUUAUUAAAAUAUCACG